CCCUACAGUUUAAUAUGAAUUACCUCAAGCAGACAUUUGGAUCCGUGGGUCAGCAGCCUGUCUCAGGAGAGUGUUUGAUGAUGCCGUUUUAUUGUUUCAGAAGGUCAAGAUCUUCAAAGCUCUCCUUCUGUUCUCCACAGGGCACCCGGGCAGCAGCUGUCAGAAUACACUCGGCUUUGUGUUUAUGUGCGAGAGAAGAGAUGUGCCUUUGAUGAGUGAAUGCCUGACAAAGAUGGAGACAGACGAGAAAAGACAGAGACCCACUAGAAACCACAGUAGUCAAUGGCAUGCUUUACAAGAGACAAAACAUCGAACAAAAGGAAAAUAGGAUAAAGGAUGUAGUUGCUUCAAAGGUCUUACUGUAAGUGUAAUUUUCAAAAGGGCUGGGUUGCCCCCGUUCUGUAAUUAAGUU
RNAcentral lists this long non-coding RNA (412 nucleotides) under Oreochromis niloticus (Nile tilapia). RNAcentral's name for it is "lncRNA (ENSONIG00000029889.1)". Lineage: Eukaryota; Metazoa; Chordata; Actinopteri; Cichliformes; Cichlidae. The record is from RNAcentral.